Molecule: ribosomal RNA, 245 nt
Filed under: uncultured bacterium
Lineage: Bacteria
Description: partial 16S ribosomal RNA
Rfam family: Bacterial small subunit ribosomal RNA
Source: RNAcentral
UACGUAGGGGGCGAGCGUUGUCCGGAAUUACUGGGCGUAAAGGGCGUGUAGGCGGUUGGAAAAGUCUGGUGUGAAAUGCACGAGCUUAACUUGUGCGCUGCGCUGGAAACUUUCUGACUGGAGUUCGGAAGGGGUGACUGGAAUUCCCGGUGUAACGGUGAAAUGUGUAGAUAUCGGGAGGAACACCUGUGGCGAAGGCGGGUCACUGGUCCGACACUGACGCUGAGACGCGAAAGCGUGGGGAG